AAUAUUAGAUCAUAAGCCCUGAUGACUUUGGCUCUGUGUAACAGAACCUAGCUUCAGCUGAAAUGCUGCGGGAGAGACUGAAAUCGGAGCUCAGGCAGGUCAUUGA
This 106-nucleotide non-coding RNA is filed under the name unclassified sequences. Its description in RNAcentral is "DUF3800-III RNA". It matches the Rfam family "DUF3800-III RNA". The record is from Rfam by way of RNAcentral.